RNAcentral lists this microRNA precursor (205 nucleotides) under Leersia perrieri. Its description in RNAcentral is "MIR812 microRNA precursor family". It matches the Rfam family "MIR812 microRNA precursor family". The record is from Rfam by way of RNAcentral. Lineage: Eukaryota; Viridiplantae; Streptophyta; Magnoliopsida; Poales; Poaceae.
AAUGUUUGACGCCGUUGACUUUUUUACGUAUGUUUGACCGUUCGUCUUAUUCAAAAAAUUUAUAUAAUUAUUAAUUAUUUUUCUAUCAUUUAAUUCGUUUUUAAAUAUAGUUUUGUGUUUACCUAUAGUUUUACUUAUUUCACAAAAUAUUUUGAAUAAGACGAACGGUCAAACGUGUGUCAAAAAGUCAACGGCAUCAAAUAUU